RNAcentral lists this long non-coding RNA (1719 nucleotides) under Solanum tuberosum (potato). RNAcentral's name for it is "long non-coding RNA (STUB_LNC008922)". The record is from RNAcentral. Lineage: Eukaryota; Viridiplantae; Streptophyta; Magnoliopsida; Solanales; Solanaceae.
UCCGCUCUCUUCUCGCUGCUGCAGCCGGCGAAACAACAAGCAGAACUCCGAAGCAGCAACAACAACUCCGACUCCGGCAGCAACUUUGACCAAGCGAGCUCCGGCGAAGUCCGAAAUUUGGAUCGAUGAAAGACGGAUCUGUUGAGAUCCGUCUCCGGUAUUUUCUUGGUAUGGCUUGUUGUUUGAAUGGCAAAAUUCGUUCAUGAGUUGUAUGCAUAAAGUCUUGGAUUGAUAGCUUAUUGAGCAUGCACCUGAUUCAAUUUGAGUUUCAUUUGGGAGGUUCAUCGAUUCACUUCAAAAAAUGUUUUCAAAAUCCGGCUGUUAUUAGCUGUUUUUGCUUGCUCACUGAUAUCUGUAUACUUCCAGUAUCUUCAGACCCUAAUGGAUCUUUACAUUUUAUUUAUUUGAAAUUAGAAUCAAAAUAAUUCGAAUGUAGACUGUCUUGAUAAUUUUGCUCAUAAUUGAUUGAUUUUCUCCUUAUUCAAUGUGGGUAAGUUUGGUAAUGUAGGAUUAUUUUAAUACUGAUUAUUCCACUUUUCUUGUCAAUAUACACUUAUGGAUCUGAUUCUUGUAUAGUAUAUCAUAUGUGGACAGUGCUUCUAUUGAUAUCAUUUCCUUAAUUAUGUAUUAUUAUUCCUUGAACAGUGUAAAGUCAAUUCUUGCUUUUCCUUAUAUGGACCGGCUUAAUUUUAUAAUAUUGUUGUUUAUAUGAUCUCUCCUCCUUAUUUAAGGUAAAUUGAUUUGGUGAUUGCAUGAAUGACUCUUACUAGUCUAUUUGAUUUUUAUUUAUUUUUUAUUUUAAAUUGGAAAAUCUCUCACUAGUUCUAUUUUGAUAAUUAUAGGAUUAUGUUACUGAAUUAGCUCCCUUUUUAAUAAGGAAUUUUUUUUUAAUUAAAACAUUUCUUUCCCUUAUUUGUGCCCUCCCCUGCACUUUAUAAAGAGACUCUCUUCUUAUUUUAUAGAUAGGCUUUAGCCAUUAGAAAAAGGGUAGGACAUUGUUCUCACAUUCUGACAUUGACGAAAAAAAAAAAAAAACCUUACUCUUGAAUACUUUAAAAAUACUACUCUCUAUUGUUAAAGAAUUAAGAUUCCGGUGAAUAUUCUAAGUGCUUUCUUACUCGGUUUUACUGUGUUUGGGUCUAGUAUCGAAUUAAAUUGGGUCUUCAUUGCUGAUAAACUUUCUGCAUAAUCGGUUAGUUCUACUUCAUUAGUUUAAUUUUUGCCUUGCAUCCGUUACUUUUGUGUAUGAAUAAAUAAAAGGGAAACAUCCGGGUUAGUCCACCUCAUUAGUGUAAUUUGGUUUUGCAUUGAUUAUAUGUUUGAAAAUAAAUAAAAGGGAAACAUCCGGGUUAGUCCUCCUCAUUAGUGUACUUUGAUUUUGCAUUGAUUAUAUGUUUGAAAAUAAAUAAAAAGGAAGCAUCCGAGUUAGCUCUCUUAUCCUUCAUUCCGAUGUGUGAUUUUAUGUGAUUUGGUGAAGUUCGUACGUUUGCUGGAAUAACUUUUUUAUGUUUUAUCUAUCAGUUGUUAUCAUGCUAUAAUCUCGUGUUGGAUGUUAUUCUGUUAAACAGGUUUCGAACUUGAAGUUCAAGUUGAAGAGUUGCCAUGAGACGAGAUUAUUUAAUGUCUGUGUUUUUCGUAUUUAUUAUUUUGGCUCUGUAAUAAUUUUAUUGUGUAACUCAAACUCUAUAUAUAAUAUAUAUUUGGGGAUCGGCUAAGGGG